RNAcentral lists this ribosomal RNA (253 nucleotides) under uncultured bacterium. RNAcentral's name for it is "partial 16S ribosomal RNA". It matches the Rfam family "Bacterial small subunit ribosomal RNA", at positions 524 to 776 of the family's 1533-position model. The record is from RNAcentral.
UACGUAGGGUGCGAGCGUUGCCCGGAUUUAUUGGGCGUAAAGGGCGCGUAGGCGGUGAGAUGCGUCCGUUGUGAAAUCGCCCGGCUCAACUGGGCGGGGUCAGCGGAUACGGUCUCACUUGAGCAAGCUAGGGGGCAAUGGAAUUCCCGGUGUAGUGGUGGAAUGCGUAGAUAUCGGGAGGAACACCAGUGGCGAAGGCGACUUCCUGGCCUGUUCUUGACGCUGAGGCGCGAAAGCUAGGGGAGCAAACGGG